Molecule: ribosomal RNA, 497 nt
Filed under: uncultured bacterium
Lineage: Bacteria
Description: partial 16S ribosomal RNA
Rfam family: Bacterial small subunit ribosomal RNA
Source: RNAcentral
GAUGAACGCUGGCGGCGUGCCUAAUACAUGCAGGUCGAGCGAACAGACGAGGAGCUUGCUCCUCUGACGUUAGCGGCGGACGGGUGAGUAACACGUGGAUAACCUACCUAUAAGACUGGGAUAACUUCGGGAAACCGGAGCUAAUACCGGAUAAUAUAUUGAACCGCAUGGUUCAAUAGUGAAAGACGGUUUUGCUGUCACUUAUAGAUGGAUCCGCGCCGCAUUAGCUAGUUGGUAAGGUAACGGCUUACCAAGGCAAUGAUGCGUAGCCGACCUGAGAGGGUGAUCGGCCACACUGGAACUGAGACACGGUCCAGACUCCUACGGGAGGCAGCAGUAGGGAAUCUUCCGCAAUGGGCGAAAGCCUGACGGAGCAACGCCGCGUGAGUGAUGAAGGUCUUCGGAUCGUAAAACUCUGUUAUUAGGGAAGAACAAAUGUGUAAGUAACUAUGCACGUCUUGACGGUACCUAAUCAGAAAGCCACGGCUAACUACGUG